AGCAGCCGGGCUGUGGGAAGAUGGGUGAGAGUCAGCUCUCUGAGUGCUUGGCGGCAGGCGGUCAGCUCAGCUGGUGGGAACAGCAGGACGGUGUGGACGUCAGCCUGGCACGGGGCAGGGGUGCCCCUCAGCAGAAUGGCAUGGGGGCUGUGGCAAGCUCCCCUCCAUCUCUGGUCCCUGGAGUCAGACUAGACCUUCGCCGCAUCCGGCUCGAAGGCUCGGAUGGAUGAUGGAUUGCCCGGCCCAUCUUCCCCGGGGGGUUGGAUCUGAGACCAUCAGCAUCCAGCAGCCGUGAGUGUGAUGGAUGAACCGAGGCCAGUCACCUAGUGGGGAAACGACAUCUCACAUUUAAAGAACACCAGGCGUUUCUACACAGCGGGGGAAGGAAAUCCGUCCUGAUUUUAAACUUUGGCACAGCUGUGAAACCGAGGGUAGUGAACUCUGAGGAGAGGACUCUUUUCUGGACAUACAUUUAACGUCCGUGAAAGCCUCAGACCCCCUGAGCACACCUGCCUAGCCGUGUUGUGGACGAACAAGGGCUGAC
This 544-nucleotide long non-coding RNA is filed under the name Homo sapiens (human). RNAcentral's name for it is "non-protein coding lnc-BANP-1:9". The record is from RNAcentral. Lineage: Eukaryota; Metazoa; Chordata; Mammalia; Primates; Hominidae.